GACGAACGCUGGCGGCGUGCUUAACACAUGCAAGUCGAACGGAAAGGCCCUGCUUUUGUGGGGUGCUCGAGUGGCGAACGGGUGAGUAACACGUGAGUAACCUGCCCUGGACUUUGGGAUAACUUCAGGAAACUGGGGCUAAUACCGGAUAGGAGCUCCUGCUGCAUGGUGGGGGUUGGAAAGUUUCGGCGGUUGGGGAUGGACUCGCGGCUUAUCAGCUUGUUGGUUGGGGAGUGGCUUACCAAGGCUUUGACGGGUAGCCGGCCUGAGAGGGUGACCGGCCACAUUGGGACUGCGAUACGGCCCAGACUCCUACGGGAGGCAGCAGUGGGGAAUAUUGCACAAUGGGCGGAAGCCUGAUGCAGCAACGCCGCGUGCGGGAUGACGGCCUUCGGGUUGUAAACCGCUUUCGCCUGUGACGAAGCGUGAGUGACGGUAAUGGGUAAAGAAGCACCGGCUAACUACGUG
RNAcentral lists this ribosomal RNA (468 nucleotides) under uncultured bacterium. RNAcentral describes it as "partial 16S ribosomal RNA". It matches the Rfam family "Bacterial small subunit ribosomal RNA", at positions 28 to 507 of the family's 1533-position model. The record is from RNAcentral.